RNAcentral lists this ribosomal RNA (402 nucleotides) under Triticum aestivum (bread wheat). Its description in RNAcentral is "partial small subunit ribosomal RNA". The record is from RNAcentral. Lineage: Eukaryota; Viridiplantae; Streptophyta; Magnoliopsida; Poales; Poaceae.
AUGGAUAAAGCUGCGGCAUACAUGAAGAAGAAGAAUUUGGAGAUUCCUACUACAUUCAAAGGUAAAUCAUUUGCUACCAUUGACCCUGAUGAGCUUGUUGUUAAGAUUGAUAGUGUAGAUCUGUGCAUUGGUAAGGAUGAACAAAAACGAAAAGACAUCAUUCUGGACUUAAUUAACUAUGACAAAGCUAGAUGCCUUCAAUUUUCUAAUGAGAAUCCGGAGAUUGUUCUCCCCGCUAGCUUGGAUUUGGAUGAUUUUAAUGAUUGUACCUCACAAAAUUUUGAUAGUAGUGCUUUCACUAAUGGAGCAGAUGGCACUGCUGAUCCAUUUUUGGAAAGCCCUGCUCUGAAUACUAAGAAAAAGCCUUGUGGCUUAUCUCACCCUUUUAGAGUAAAAUGUUAG